GACGAACGCUGGCGGCGUGCUUAACACAUGCAAGUCGAACGGUGAUGCUCCAGCUUGCUGGAGUGGAUCAGUGGCGAACGGGUGAGUAACACGUGAGCAACCUGCCCCAGACUCUGGAAUAAGCGCUGGAAACAGCGUCUAAUACUGGAUACGAAACUGGCCCGCAUGGGCAUGGUUUGGAAAGUUUUUCGGUUUGGGAUGGGCUCGCGGCCUAUCAGCUUGUUGGUGAGGUAAUGGCUCACCAAGGCGACGACGGGUAGCCGGCCUGAGAGGGCGACCGGCCACACUGGGACUGAGACACGGCCCAGACUCCUACGGGAGGCAGCAGUGGGGAAUAUUGCACAAUGGGCGAAAGCCUGAUGCAGCGACGCCGCGUGAGGGAUGACGGCCUUCGGGUUGUAAACCUCUUUCAGCAGGGAAGAAGCGAAAGUGACGGUACCUGCAGAAGAAGCACCGGCUAACUACGUG
Molecule: ribosomal RNA, 468 nt
Filed under: uncultured bacterium
Lineage: Bacteria
Description: partial 16S ribosomal RNA
Rfam family: Bacterial small subunit ribosomal RNA
Source: RNAcentral